Molecule: ribosomal RNA, 709 nt
Filed under: uncultured bacterium
Lineage: Bacteria
Description: bacterial SSU rRNA
Rfam family: Bacterial small subunit ribosomal RNA
Source: RNAcentral
GAGUUUGAUCAUGGCUCAGAACGAACGCUGGCGGCAGGCUUAAUACAUGCAGGUCGAGCGGUCUCUUUCGGGAGACAGCGGCGGACGGGUUAGUAACGCGUGGGAACGUGCCCUUUAGUACGGAAUAGCCAUUGGAAACGAUGAUUAAUACCGUAUACGCCCUAUGGGGGAAAGAUUUAUCGCUAAAGGAUCGGCCCGCGUUAGAUUAGGUUGUUGGUGGGGUAAUGGCCUACCAAGCCUACGAUCUAUAGCUGGUUUGAGAGGAUGAUCAGCAACACUGGGACUGAGACACGGCCCAGACUUCUACGGAAGGCAGCAGUAGGGAAUCUUGGACAAUGGGCGAAAGCCUGAUCCAGCCAUGCCGCGUGAGUGAUGAAGGCCCUAGGGUUGUAAAACUCUUUCGCCAGGGAAGAUAAUGACGGUACCUGGUAAAGAAACCCCGGCUAACUCCGUGCCAGCAGCCGCGGUAAUACGGAGGGGGUUAGCGUUGUUCGGAAUUACUGGGCGUAAAGCGCACGUAGGCGGACUAGUCAGUCAGAGGUGAAAUCCCGAGGCUCAACCUCGGAACUGCCUUUGAUACUGCUAGUCUAGAGUUCGAGAGAGGUGAGUGGAAUUCCGAGUGUAGAGGUGAAAUUCGUAGAUAUUCGGAGGAACACCAGUGGCGAAGGCGGCUCACUGGAUCGAUACUGACGCUGAGGUGCGAAAGCGU